GAACAAAUGGGUACCUUGGGACACACAUUCAAAAUAAAAUAACUCAAAGCACAACCACCGAAGCACCUGGCUGAGCUCGCGGAGCUUUCUAAGCCAUGGAGAUGGCGAUGACUGUGAUGAAUGUGGCAACUCUCCAACCCAAAUCUCUUCGACCCAAAAGCCCUUACCUUCUUCCAAACCCAAGAAGAGUCUUCAACUUCAAGGCCUCUUCUCUCCACAACCCUCAAGUCUCAUCAAUCGGAGCGCCAACUCUGGUGGGUCAAUUCGACCCAACAAUCCCCUUAGAGCGAGCCGUAACUCCACCCAGCUCAUGGUACACCGAUCCUUCCUUUUACUCUCUCGAACUCGACACCCUCUUCUACCGUGGAUGGCAGGGUGCAGGAUACACUGAACAGAUAAAAAAUCCCGGGGAGUUUUUCACUUGCAGAUUGGGAAACGCAGAGUUUGUUGUGUGCCGAGAUGGUGAUGGCAAGCUUCAAGCUUUCCACAAUGUAUGUCGACAUCAUGCCUCACUUCUUGCAUAUGGAAGCGGCCGCAAGUCGUGCUUUGUGUGCCCUUAUCAUGGAUGGACGUAUGGGUUAGACGGCGCACUUCUCAAGGCAACUAGAAUAACUGGAAUACAAAAUUUCAAUCAACAUGAGUUUGGGCUUAUAUCGGUGAAAGUAGCUACUUGGGGCCCGUUUGUUCUUCUCAAUAUGGAGCAGGAUGUUGAUAGUGAUACAGACAUAGUGGAAAAGGAAUGGCUUGGCAGCUCUUCAGAACUACUGAGUAACAAUGGGGUCGAUUCCUCAUUAAGUUUUGUUUGUAGACGUGAUUAUAUGAUUGAAUGUAACUGGAAGGUCUUUUGUGACAACUACUUAGAUGGCGGAUAUCAUGUGCCUUAUGCACAUAAAGGCCUUGCAUCUGGUCUUAAUCUUGAUCAUUACUCUACCACAAUAUAUGAAAAGGUCACCAUUCAAAAGUGUGAAGGUGGCUCAACAGAAAGAAGAAAUGAUUAUGAUCGGCUUGGAUCAAAAGCUCUAUAUGCUUUCGUUUAUCCUAAUUUCAUGAUUAAUAGGUUUCUCAUAGGUAUGGACCAUGGAUGGACACCAAUCUAGUACUGCCACUUGGACCAAGCAAAUGUCAAGUGAUAUUUGAUUACUUCAUUGAACCUUCUCUUAUGGAUAACAAAGAUUUUAUAGAGAGAAGUUUGAAAGACAGUGAAAGAGUACAGGUGGAAGAUGUCAUGCUAUGUGAAGGUGUCCAAAGAGGUCUUGAAUCACCUGCGUAUGAUAUCGGCCGAUACACUCCAACUGUCGAGAAUGCCAUGCACCAUUUCCAUUGUCUACUUCACAAGAGCCUGAAAAAAUGAGAAUUACCCGAUACAUUUUGGUAGAUGUGCUCCAACUGUCGAGAAUGCCAUGCACCAUUUCCGUUUUCUGCUUCACGAGAGCCUAUCGAACUUACAUCCUGAUUGUAUCCGUCCUCCUAUUUUAGUUUUAUAUCUUUCGUUCAUAUUUUAUGAAUAAUGAUGCAAG
Prunus avium (sweet cherry) is the source of this 1517-nucleotide RNA transcript. It is a transcript of the gene named choline monooxygenase, putative (CMO-like), with no coding region annotated. Lineage: Eukaryota; Viridiplantae; Streptophyta; Magnoliopsida; Rosales; Rosaceae. The record is from RefSeq and is a predicted model, not a curated record.